GCCCUGGGGUGUUUGGCACGUCGGAUUGCAAACCCGAAAGAGCGGGUUAAUAGCCUGCCGGGGCUU
This 66-nucleotide transfer RNA is filed under the name Schizolecis guntheri. RNAcentral's name for it is "tRNA-Cys". The record is from RNAcentral. Lineage: Eukaryota; Metazoa; Chordata; Actinopteri; Siluriformes; Loricariidae.